GCUCCAGUAGCGUAUAUUAAAGUUGUUGCAGUUAAAAAGCUCGUAGUUGGAUUUCUGGUUGAGUGCGCCUGGCCGCGGCGGUUACGUCUGUGAGUGCCGGAUGCGCGCUCGCCAUCCUGCUAGGGAACGUUUCUACCUUCACUGGGCCGGACUCGCGAUCUAGCUCCUUUACUUUGAAAAAAUUAGAGUGUUUAAAGCAG
This 200-nucleotide ribosomal RNA is filed under the name uncultured eukaryote. RNAcentral describes it as "partial 18S ribosomal RNA". It matches the Rfam family "Eukaryotic small subunit ribosomal RNA", at positions 588 to 783 of the family's 1831-position model. The record is from RNAcentral.